GCUGGCGGCGUGGCUAAGACAUGCAAGUCGAACGGUCCGAUAUUUAUUUGUUUACAAAUUGUGUCGGAUAGUGGCGAAAGGGUGAGUAAUGGGUAGGUAACGUACCUCGAACUUCGGGAUAGCGUCUGUUUAUCUUCGGAUAAACUUCCGAAAGGGGCAGUAAUACCGAAUAAUAUCAGGUGUCGAUAGGCAUCUGAUCAAAGAUUUAUCGGUUUGAGAGCGGCCUACCUCCUAUCAGCUUGUUGGUGAGGUAAGAGCUCACCAAGGCAAUGACGGGUAGCGGGACUGAGAGGUUGGCCCGCCACAUCGGGACUGAGACACUGCCCGGACCUCCACGGAGGGCUGCAGUAACGAAUCUUGCGCAAUGGGCGAAAGCCUGACGCAGCGACGCCGCGUGCGGGAAGAAGUCCCUCGGGAUGUAAACCGCUGUCAGGGGGAAGAAAGUGCGCUCCGGCGUAUUGAUCUAACCCAAAGGAAGUCACGGCUAACUUCGUGCCAGCAGCCGCGGUAAUACG
RNAcentral lists this ribosomal RNA (515 nucleotides) under uncultured Planctomycetota bacterium. Its description in RNAcentral is "bacterial SSU rRNA". It matches the Rfam family "Bacterial small subunit ribosomal RNA", at positions 35 to 527 of the family's 1533-position model. Lineage: Bacteria; Pseudomonadati; Planctomycetota. The record is from RNAcentral.